AGACCGUUCAUUCACUGGUUGCCGAGAUUACACAUCGGUCCUGUCUAAGUUUCGGAGCUGCAAACUUCACGCUAGCGAGUUAUUUAUCAUAUCUGAGGACAACAGAUGACAAUAAUGGAGACUCAACCAAAACUUGCUGUAAUGGUAACAGUGGUCCAGAGCCUGUGCCAGAGGGGAUGCCAGUCUAACAUGGAAAAAAAAAACACCCAGAAUACAACAUUUCACCAGAGUAAAAGGAAAUAUCCAAAGAGGGUUAUGGGGAGCCGGAGCCUAACCCGACAACAGAGGGCAUAAGGCUGGAGGGGGAGGGGACACACCCAGGACGGGACACCAGUCCAUUGCAAGGCACCCCCAGCGAGACUCAAACCCCAAACCCAGCGGAGACCAGGACCCGGUCCAACCCACUGUACCACUGAGCCCCCC
RNAcentral lists this long non-coding RNA (423 nucleotides) under Scleropages formosus (Asian bonytongue). Its description in RNAcentral is "lncRNA (ENSSFOG00015029327.1)". Lineage: Eukaryota; Metazoa; Chordata; Actinopteri; Osteoglossiformes; Osteoglossidae. The record is from RNAcentral.